Molecule: unclassified non-coding RNA, 338 nt
Filed under: uncultured fungus
Lineage: Eukaryota; Fungi
Description: partial contains 5.8S ribosomal RNA and internal transcribed spacer 2
Rfam family: 5.8S ribosomal RNA (bases 1-133)
Source: RNAcentral
UGGUUCUGGCAUCGAUGAAGAACGCAGCGAAAUGCGAUAAGUAAUAUGAAUUGCAGAGUUAAGUGAAUCAUCGAAUCUUUGAACGCACAUUGCGCCCGCCAGUAUUCUGGCGGGCAUGCCUGUCUGAGCGUCAUUUCACCACUCGCAACCGGCUUUGCUGGAUGCGGCGUUGGGGAUCGGCUCCCGCAAGGGUGCCGUCCUCGAAAUGGAGUGGCGGUCUCGCUGCGACCUCCUCUGCGUAGUACUCUAUUCUCGCAGGUGGAUAGCAGCGUGGCCACGCCGUAAAACACCCAACCUUUCUUAUGGUUGACCUCAGAUCAGGUAGGAAUACCCGCUGA